CCUCUGUUUCUUCCCCAUCUUACUCUGCCAUGGAUUCCAGGGAAGGAGGUGUGCUCGGAGGGAGGCAAAGCUGAGAGCCUGCUACAGGGCCAGGGAGGGGAUUGUAUAGCUUCGGGAAGGGACUCACAGCAAAACUCAGGGGAGAUGUCCCUUAGCUUGGGGACACCAGCAGCCCUGCUGUUAUUCAGGUGACCAGCUGCAAGUGCGAUGGGAACUCCUUCGGCCGCUUGUGUGAACACUCUAAGGACCUCUGCACUGAGCCAUGCUUCCCUAAUGUGGACUGCAUUCCUGGGAAGGGCUGUCAGGCCUGCCCUCCAAACAUGACUGGAGAUGGGCGUCAUUGUGUAGCUGUGGAGAUCUCUGAAUUCUGCCAGAACCAUUCCUGUCCUGUGAAUUACUGCUAUAACCAUGGCCAUUGCGACAUCUCUGGGCCUCCAGACUGCCAGCCCACUUGCACCUGCGCCCCUGCCUUCACUGGUAACCGCUGCUUCCUGGCCGGGAACAAUUUCACUCCCAUCAUCUAUAAAGAGCUUCCCUUGAGGACCAUCACGCUCUCUCUCAGGGAGGACGAAAACGCCUCUAACGCUGACGUCAAUGCCUCGG
RNAcentral lists this long non-coding RNA (603 nucleotides) under Rattus norvegicus (Norway rat). RNAcentral describes it as "long non-coding RNA NONRATT007073". Lineage: Eukaryota; Metazoa; Chordata; Mammalia; Rodentia; Muridae. The record is from RNAcentral.